This 433-nucleotide ribosomal RNA is filed under the name uncultured bacterium. RNAcentral describes it as "partial 16S ribosomal RNA". It matches the Rfam family "Bacterial small subunit ribosomal RNA", at positions 29 to 507 of the family's 1533-position model. The record is from RNAcentral.
AACGAACGCUGGCGGCAUGCCUAACACAUGCAAGUCGAACGAGCCCUUCGGGUCUAGUGGCGCACGGGUGCGUAACGCGUGGGAACCUGCCCUUAGGUUCGGAAUAACUCCCCGAAAGGGGUGCUAAUACCGGAUAAUGUCUUCGGACCAAAGAUUUAUCGCCUUUGGAUGGGCCCGCGGUGGAUUAGCUAGUUGGUAGGGUAAAAGCCUACCAAGGCGACGAUCCAUAGCUGGUCUGAGAGGAUGAUCAGCCACACUGGGACUGGGACACGGCCCAGACUCCCACGGGAGGCAGCAGUGGGGAAUAGUGGACAAUGGGCGAAAGCCUGAUCCAGCAAUGCCGCGUGAGUGAUGAAGGCCUGAGGGUUGUAAAGCUCUUUUAACCGGGAUGAUAAUGACAGUACCGGGAGAAUAAGCUCCGGCUAACUCCGUG